UACGGAGGGGGCUAGCGUUGUUCGGAAUUACUGGGCGUAAAGCGCGCGUAGGCGGACCUGCAAGUCGGGGGUGAAAUCCCGGGGCUCAACCUCGGAACUGCCUUUGAUACUGUAGAUCUCGAGUCCGAUAGAGGUGAGUGGAAUUCCUAGUGUAGAGGUGAAAUUCGUAGAUAUUAGGAAGAACACCAGUGGCGAAGGCGGCUCACUGGAUCGGUACUGACGCUGAGGUGCGAAAGCGUGGGGAGCAAACAGG
This 253-nucleotide ribosomal RNA is filed under the name uncultured bacterium. RNAcentral describes it as "partial 16S ribosomal RNA". It matches the Rfam family "Bacterial small subunit ribosomal RNA", at positions 524 to 776 of the family's 1533-position model. The record is from RNAcentral.